AACGCACCUUGCGCCCCUUGGUAUUCCGAGGGGCACACCCGUUUGAGUGUCGUGAAAAUCUCAACCUUCUCGGUUUUCUUCUGGACACCGAAGGAGGCUUGGACUUUGGAGGCCUUUGCUGGCGUCUCUCUAGAGCCAGCUCCUCUUAAAUGAAUUAGCGGGGUCCUCUUUGCCGAUCCUUGACAUGUGAUAAGAUGUUUCCAUGACUCGGUUUCUGGCUCUGUUGCAUUUGGGACCUGCUUCUAACCGUCUCGACGAGACGACGUUUGUGCGUGUCUCCCUUCUCGGGAGACUCUCUCGACCCCACGAACCCUUGACCUCAAAUCGGGUGAGACUACCCGCUGAACUUAA
This 351-nucleotide unclassified non-coding RNA is filed under the name uncultured Lactarius. RNAcentral's name for it is "sequence contains ITS2". Lineage: Eukaryota; Fungi; Basidiomycota; Agaricomycetes; Russulales; Russulaceae. The record is from RNAcentral.